This 492-nucleotide ribosomal RNA is filed under the name uncultured bacterium. RNAcentral's name for it is "bacterial SSU rRNA". It matches the Rfam family "Bacterial small subunit ribosomal RNA", at positions 899 to 1397 of the family's 1533-position model. The record is from RNAcentral.
ACUCAAAUGAAUAGACGGGGGCCCGCACAAGCAGUGGAGUAUGUGGUUUAAUUCGAAGCAACGCGAAGAACCUUACCAGGUCUUGACAUCGAUUGAAAGCUAUAGAGAUAUAGCCCUCUCUUCGGAGACAUGAAGACAGGUGGUGCAUGGUUGUCGUCAGCUCGUGUCGUGAGAUGUUGGGUUAAGUCCCGCAACGAGCGCAACCCUUAUCAUUAGUUGCUACGCAAGAGCACUCUAGUGAGACUGCCGUUGACAAAACGGAGGAAGGUGGGGAUGACGUCAAAUCAUCAUGCCCCUUAUGACCUGGGCUACACACGUACUACAAUGGCCGUCAACAAAGUGAAGCAAAAUCGCGAGAUGGAGCAAAACACAAAAAACGGUCUCAGUUCGGAUCGCAGGCUGCAACCCGCCUGCGUGAAGUCGGAAUUGCUAGUAAUCGCAGAUCAGCAUGCUGCGGUGAAUACGUUCCCGGGCCUUGUACACACCGCCCGU